UCAAGAUAAGAUUUCCCACCGUAAGGGUAAGACCCCAGAAAGACUAUCUGGUUGAUAGGUCGAAGGUGUAAGUGCAGCAAUGUAUUUAGCUUAUCGAUACUAAUAGGUCGAGGACUUGACCAAUAUU
RNAcentral lists this ribosomal RNA (127 nucleotides) under Clostridioides difficile. Its description in RNAcentral is "partial 23S ribosomal RNA". It matches the Rfam family "Bacterial large subunit ribosomal RNA", at positions 2799 to 2925 of the family's 2925-position model. The record is from RNAcentral. Lineage: Bacteria; Bacillati; Bacillota; Clostridia; Peptostreptococcales; Peptostreptococcaceae.